CUGCGCGCCCCAGCAAUCUAAGCAGAUGGCCGCACUGUCGGGAACAUCUGGAGGUCGCCGGAGUACGUGCCUGUGUAUGUGUAUGUGUGUGUAUGACUGUGUGUGUGGAAAGAGAGAGGGAAUUAGUUGCUAGUAAGAAAGAGAUUUGGUGGGUGGGUGAGGGCUUCCUCUUUGCUUGUUCACCGCCCCUCCCCAUUUUUUUUUAAAGAGUGAAAGAGGUUCAGGGACUACCGGGAGCAAGAAACCAAGAAUCUGAAGCAGAGAAAGACUGGCUGAAAGACGAACCCACAGAGAAGAGAGAGCCCGGCUCGGGCAGAAAAGCUGGCAGGAGAGGAGAGAGAAAGUCAACAGAUUGAGUUUUUCUUUUAGGAGGAAACCAUUGGCUUCUGGUUAGAGUUCUAAGAAGGGAAACUGGCGUGUGAGUAGGCAGCAGUUUCAGUCUAUUCCCCCUGCUGUAGCUCUUGGGCUCUCACCCCUCUUUAUGUUAAAAAAAAAAAAAAAGGGCAGGAAAGCAUCCAAGACACUUUAAAAUGAGGGUUUGCAGGAGAAAUGACCUGGUGGACGCAUUUCCUAGGAGGGGAGAGUCAGGUGUGUGGGUGGCUCCCAGUCUACACACCCCGACAAUGCCUACCUUGGGAGAGGGGCAGUUCACAGGUGGGAGAGUUGAUAGAGGCUUUGGUCUUGGGCCCUGGACCUCCCAGGAGCUUCUCCUAGACUUUGGAGGGCCUCGGGGUGCAGAAAUUGGGCAAUGUACCUCCUGCAGUGGCCCAGACUUGUUAACACACCCAGUCUGCUUGCUGCUUCUUUCCUUAUUACUUUUUCUUAUUCAUUAAAAAAAAAAAAAAAAAAAGGAGUUGCUUGGGCCUGUGUGUGCAUGCAUGCCGGUCUACUUGGGGAAGAAGGAAGACACUAGAGAGGUGGUGAGGUAGGAGUGGAGACCACUGCCCCAGGCCUCAGGCCAGCAAAAUCAUCUGCUGCCCAGAAAACAAACUGGUCUUGCAGGUCCUUUCUGCACUCAGAGCCAUUGUGUGGUCUUGGGGAUGCACUUGGGUUGACACCUGUGGACCCUGCCAGUUAGGAAUGUGCAGAGAAAAGGCUAGGAGCCUGGUCUCAUAUGUGUGGAAGCAGGGAGAACUCCCGUCUCUCCUCUCCAUUCAUUGUCCUCUCCUGAUUAGAAUCCCAGCUUUCAGAACUAGGAGUCCUUCUGUGAUCAUCCAGCUCACACUCCUUAUCAGUCUUUGGGAUGGCACCAUGGGCCCUUUGGUAUCCAGUGUCUUCCUCACUGUUGGGCUUAAAAGGGCUGCAGGGAUUCAACUCCACAACCCCUGGGACCCAUAGAGAGGAGUCGGGCCCCUCCCAUUUCCCACCCUCCCAUUCCCUCCCCUCUCUAAAGGCUCCUGGCCUAGAUGGGAGAGAGACCUGCAAUCAGCAUCGGGUGAGGGCCAAGCUUGGUCAGGAUUCAGGUUCCAGCCCUGCCACUUACCAGCUCUGGGUAACUUUAGGCAAGUUACCUAACCUCUCUGAGACUCAGUGUCUGCAACUGUAGAAGAGGCUAUUGUGAGGAAUAAACAAGGUAAUUUAGGUAAAGCAUUAGUCUGGCUCACAGGAAGCUCCUUUGUGUGGUUGCUAAAUGUCUUCCGUCAGGGACUGGGGUAGAGACUGGAAAGCCCAGCAGGCUUGGGAGGGGAGGGUGCCCGGGAAUGACCUCUGGACUCCCUGGCUUGUCUAGCUUAUAUUCCUCCUGCUUCCUCCCCUCCCAUAGGGACAUUCUUUUGAAGGAAUGGCGCCCCCCUCCCCUUGCCCUAGACUAACGAUUUCCAUCCUCUCCUCCAUGUGGAAUUGUUUAGCGAGUCUCAAGUUCAGCAUCUGAGAACUGGAGAUGAAAAUACCCAACUGCCCGGGAACUCAGGGAAGCUAACUCCCACUGCACUGUGUGUGCAGGUUCUAGCCAGCUGGGCUGGAGGCUCCAGGCCUCACAUUUAACAUAAAAGUAAUCAACAACCCUUCACACUGGCUGGUAGCUGGCAGCAGUUUCUGAGCACUUUCACAUUCAUCAUUUCCCUUGACCUCCCCUUAGGGAGAGGUGGCCUUGAGGGGCUUCAGCUGGUGGAUCUCCAUGAACUUUACCCACCUCCCCUCAUCACUGUGCCUCCAGUUGAGAGUCUCUGUGCCUCUAGACUCUCCUCUUCUGUCUGCUGUCCACAUUCCAGCAAGAGUGCCCUUUCUAAACUGCAGAUCUGCAGAAUGGAUCAUGACACUUGCCUGCUUAAAACCUUUCAAUGGCAAAAGCCAAACUGCUUGGUGUGGCAUUCAAGGCCUAUGUGAUAUGCCCCCACCUCACCUUAACUCUCCAGCAUCAGUUCUGGCCACCCCCUCUUACACAUCCCAAGUUUUAGUCCCCUAGUCACCUAGAAGUAAGGGAAGGGAGGUGGACCUUCUCCAUUCUUCAUGUCUGUUCAGUGUCUUCGCCCCCAGGGAGUCCUCUCUCUGGCGAAGUUGGCCUCUCCAUCUGUGAUAUUGCCAUGUCCUUUGUAUAUAAGCACCAUCAUUUUCACCGUUCUCUUCCCCUUCUUGUGAUCAUCUUGGCCACUGUGACAUGUCAGGGACUGUGCUGGAUACUUUUAAGAUCAUGAUUUAAUCCAAACAACCACACUAGAUGGAUAGUGGUGCGGCCCAGAAAGGGCAAGAGAUCUGUCUGGGGUUACAUAGCAUGUUCUCUGCGGAGCUGGCACAACAUUUAGGGCUCCAGUGCUCUUUCUGUUGCCUUUUAAUCUCCACAAAGAGCAGAGGUGGUGUAGCAGAAAGGCCUGGGAAUCUAAGGAUCCCAGGUGCAAACCAUCACUCCUCUAUCCCUGGCUAACUGUGGACUUUGGGUAAGUCAUUUUCUCCCCUAAGCCUCAGUUUCCUUACCUGUAAAAUAGGGAUAAAUAAGAAGCCCUAUCUCCCAGGGAUAUCGGGGUGAUCAAAUGAAUCAAUACAGAUGCAAAUGUGUUAUAAGCCAUAGGGUGCUGUGUGCUUUUAUUUAUUUGCUUAGAGAUGAGGUCUUACUCUGUCACCCAGGCUGGAGCGCAGUGGUGCAAUCAUAGCUCACUGCCACCUUGAGUUCCUGGGCUCAAGGGAUCCUCCUGCCUCAGCCUCCUGAGUAGCUGGGACUACAGGCACACCACCAUGUGCCUCGCUAAUUUUUAAAUUAUUUGUAGAGACGAGGGUCUUAUCAUCUUGCCCAGGCUGAUCUCGAACUCUUGGGCUCAAGCAGUCCUCCUGCCUUGGCCUCCCAAAGUGCUGGGAUUACAGGUGUGAGCCACCAUGUCUGGUCGUGGUGUGAUUUUAAUUGACUUACCUGAACAGCCAUACUGAAGCUGCGGGUGAUCUGUUGGAAGAUCUCUUUUCUCGAAGAGCCCUUGAGUGGAGGUCAGAAGACACUAUUCGUCCCUUCAGCCGCUUUGCUCAUUUUCCAUGUUUUGAGACAGGUCUUUCAUUUUCUGUCCUUCAUUAUAGCGAUCAAGCCCUGACCAGAAAACCCUUCAGAUCCAAUGUAUCUCCAUGAGCCUCCAGGAUCUCUAUUUUUCUUGCUGCAUUUUCUUCUUUUCAGCUAUCAGAAGCUGGCAGGUCUUAAGUUAAUAAAGCAUCAGGACCAUGUGUGGAAAUAGCAGAAAAGAAGAGCUGGAAGAAAAAGGAUGUGUCUCCACCCCUGCCCCCCACCCUGACUCUGUAGAUGUGGCAUGUGGCAGGUUAUGUUUUCUAAAAGUUCCUCUGGUUAUUCUGAUGUCAGUACGAGGACCGCGGGACAUGACAGAAUACCUUGGAAUUGGAAGACCUUUCAUGCAUGUUCUCAUUAAACCUCUGAGCAGGCUUCUUAGGUAGUUGAUUAUCCCCUCCAUUUUACAGAUGUGGAAACUGAGACUCAGAAGUGACUUACCCAGGAUUGCACAGCUGGAACUGAAAACUGGCUCACGGACAGAACUCCAGCCAUUCCUCUGGAGGGCGGAAUUCUGUGCCUGGGCUUUGCUGGUGUCUCAGCAGUCAAUGCAUGACAAAUGCUUCUCCCAUCCUGCCAAAUCAAAUGCUUCCCUAAAUAUUUCUCUCCCACUCUUCCACCUCCAUGCUUUUUCCCCUGCCUGGAAUGCUUUUCUCAGUUCAAUCUACCAGCUGCAGUUUUCACUGUCCUCCGAGCCCUGCCACCUCCUGCACAAAGACAUUUCCAUUUCCCGCAGUUUCUCUUCCUUUGAGCCUAGAAACACUUGGUCUGUGCCUCAGUACAGCUGUCUCUUCAGCCUUCCCUCCUGCCUCAACUUGAUGCUCCAACAUCCCCAGCUGUUGGGGUUUCCUGUGCUUCUGGCAGUUCCUUACCACCUCUGGGUCUUUGCUUCUCUUUGUGCCUACAGAAGUGCCCCUUGCCCUGCCCCGUCUCUUGCUUAUUAUUCAAAAUUCAGCUUAGGUAUCACUUCUUCCAGGAGGCCUCCCCUGACCUCCGCAACCCCUAAUUGUACUAUUAGGAACCCUUCCUCUGUGCUGCCAUGGCAUACCAAGGAUACCUCUGUAAUAAGCAAGAUUGUUCAUUCGUUCACCCAUUCACUCAUUAUAGCAAGGUGCAGACUCUGGGGCCAAACCUCAGGUUUGAAUCCUGGCUUCAAAGUGGGCAAGUUCUUAACCACCGCCCCCCACCCUGCCUUACUAUCUGUAAAAUGAGGAAAACAAUAGUCCCUACCUCAAACGUUGUUGUGAGGAUUAAAUGAAUUAUCUGUAUAGCACGUGUAUAACACUGCCUGGAAUGUAGUAACACACUAAUAGUUUAGUAAGUAUUUGAUGAAUGUUGGCUACUACUCUUACAACUUGUUAAUUCACUUUACAACAUAGGAAAAACGUUUGUAAAAAUGGACAGAGAAGAGGAUUCUGGGUAGAUGGCAGAGUAGGAAGCAUCAGGAAUCCAUCUUCCCACCUAGACAACAAUUGCACUGGCAGAAUCUGUCUGAUGUAACUGUUUUGUAACACUGGAGUCUAUUGAAGGCAUGAAACUUCCAGGGGAAGUCUUGGACAGUAAAUUGUGCUUAAUUUCAGUCAAUUUUAGCUGUUAACAUGAAAGCAGCUACUCUGACCACAGCCCCCUGUCAGGCGGCUGUAUGGGUGUUCCUGCAGCAACCUGCACACAGCUUGUGAGAGCCAGGGUGGACAAAAAGGACCCUAUAGUGAAUACAGAGUAUCUGAGCUCUGAUCACUGAUUAUUGCUUCUAAUCAAAGAAAUACAGACACAAAAGCAGGUGGCCAUUGUUGUUGCACCUCUCCUGUUGUUGCAAGACUCUCCCCCUCCAGCUGAAGUGACUUCCAAAGGAUUUAAAGGGCUAGUGCCCUUCCUUCUCCUUUAUUUUUCUCUUUUUCCCAUUUAAGAGCCAGACAUUAAAAACUAGAACAUUUAAAAGCAACUGUAUAUACAGGAAAAGUUAGAAAGUGACCAUGUGUGUUCAGGGAAAGGUUCACACUCAGAAAAGACUCCAGAAGACCUUAAGUUUACAUUGCAAGCUAAUGUUUGGCACAGAGACAGUCCACAAGAUCAACAGAAAAACAGCAACAGUUUAUACCUCAGGCUGAUCCUGGGCACAGAGACAGCCUACAACAUCUACAGAAAAACAAUAACAGAAACCAGCAAACCCUAGGGAAAGAAGAGAAUUGGAUUUCCAGAGCUACCACAUCAUUAGUUAAAUGUUCAGUUUUCAACACAAAGCAUACAAAGAAACAGGAAAUUAUGGCCCAUUAAAAGGAAAACAAACAGAAACUGUCCCUGAAAAAGACCUGAUGGCAGAGCUACCAGACAAAGACUUUAAAACAACUCUUUUAAAGAUACUGAAAGAACUAAAGGAAGAUGUAGAUAAAGUCAAGAAAAUGAUGUGUGAACAAAAUAGAGGAUCAAAAAAGAGAAAACCUAAAAAUAAGCCAAAAAGAAAUUCUGGAGCCAUAAAGUACAAUAACUGAAAUGAAGAAUUUACCAGAGGGAUUCAGACAGAUUUGAGGGGGCAAAAGAAGGAAUCCACAAAUUUGAAGAUAGGACAAUAAAAAUGGUCGAGUUUAAGGAACAUAAAGAAAAAAGAUUGAAGAAACAUGAACAGCACCUAAGCGACCUAUGGGAUACCAUCAAAUGGACCAACAUAUGCUUUGUGAGAGUCUUAGAAGAAGAGAAAGAAAGGAGCGGAGAGAAUAUUUGAAGAAAUAAUGGCUGAAAACAUCUGAAAUUAGAUGAAAUACGUAAACAUCCAAGAAGCUCAGCCAACUCCAAGUCAGAUAAACUCAGACCCACACUGAGACUCAUUAUAAUCAAACUGUCAAAAGCCAAAGACACAGAAUCUCGAAAGCAGCAAGAGAGAAGUGACUUAUCGUAUACAAGGGAUCCUCAAUAAGACUGUCAGCAGAUUUCUCAUCAGAAACUUUGGAGGCCAGAAGGCAGUGGGAUGAUAAAGUGUUAAAAGAAAAAGAAAAAAACUGUCAAUCAAGAAUCCUAUAUUUGGCAAAACCAUCCUUUAAAAGUGAGGAAGAAAUUAAGACAUUCCCAGAUAAACAAAAGCUGAAAGAGUUUACCAUUAGACCUGCUCUACAAUAAAUACUCAAGGGAGUCCUGCAGGUGAAAUAAAAGGACACUAGACAGGGACACAAAGACAUUUGAAGAAAUGAAGGUCUCAAAAAAGAUAAAUAUGUAGGCAAUUACAAAAAUGGUUUGUAACUCCACUUUUUGUUUUCUACAUAACUUAAGAGGCUAAUUAUUUAAAAGAAUUAUUAGUUUGUGGUUUGGGGCACACAAUGAAUAAAGAUAUAAUUCUGUGACAACAACAACAAAAAGGCCUGGGGAUGGAAUAUGUUAAAGAAACAGAAUUUGUGGGCUGGGCAUGGUGGCUCAUGCCUCUAAUCCCAGCAUUUUGGGAGGCCGAGAUGGGAGGAUCACUUGAGGCCAGGAUUUAAACACCAGCCUGGUCAACAUAGUGAGAUCCUGUCUCUAAAAAAUAAAAUAAAAUAAACAGAGUUUGUGUAUGUUAUUGAAGUUCAAUUGGUACAGAUUUAAAUUAUAGUGUUAUAACUUUCGGAUGUUAAAUAUAAUCCCCAUGUUAACAACAAGAAAAAAGCUAUAGAAUAUAUACAGAAGGAAAUGAGAAAAGAAUUGAAAUGUCUUAUUACAAAAAAAAAAAGCUAAACAUAAGAGGACGGUGUUGUAGGAAAUGUACAAAACCUCUGUUGACCGGGCACAGUGGCUCAUGCCUGUAAUCCCAGCACUUUGGGAGGCCGAGCAGGUGGUGCUCGGUGACCUAAGGUGACCUUAGGUGAACCUAAGGUCAGGAGUUCAAGACCAGCCUGGCCAACAU
RNAcentral lists this long non-coding RNA (7343 nucleotides) under Homo sapiens (human). Its description in RNAcentral is "non-protein coding lnc-LRRC32-6:9". Lineage: Eukaryota; Metazoa; Chordata; Mammalia; Primates; Hominidae. The record is from RNAcentral.